CGUCACACCAUGGGAGUUGGCCACGCCCGAAGUCGUUACUCCAACCGCUUGUCGGAGGAGGACGCCGAAGGCAGGGCUGAUGACUGGGGUGAAGUCGUAACAAGGUAGCCGUACCGGAAGGUGUGGCUGGAUCACCUCCUUUACAGGGAGACCUACCCACUCUGUGACUGAAAGCAAAAAGCAAAACGCAAGGUGCAAAUAAGUCUAGAGUCGGUCAUCCCAAGGUCGAACGAAAAUGGUGAAGGCUUUCAAACUAUUACAGGUUCAUCGGUCAUAGGUAGAUUAACAGCAAAACUACGCUAGAAGCCAUAGUAAUGCACACUAAGGUUAAUCGUUGACCUCGCUAUCAUUAAUGGCGAUGCCCUAAUGUAAAAGCGAAAGUUAAACAGCAGUGGAAUCACUUCAGCACCUCAUCUAGUAAACAUAUUUGGUAGACAAUGUGUUAGAUUAGAGAGCCUGCUGGAAUGAAUACCAGCAAGAACCUAGAAAAUUGCAUAGCAAAAUGUCAGGUAGAAGCAUUAGUGAAGAAUGAGAUGAGAGGUUGGACGAGAGUUCAAUUAGGAGUCAUGGUUCAACACUAAUGAGAUACAGAAACCAAUGUAGAAAGAUUGCGAAAUCAAGUGGUCAAGCUACAAAGGGCUGAUGGUGGAUACCUAGGCACACAGAGAA
RNAcentral lists this unclassified non-coding RNA (669 nucleotides) under Siamcapillus rubidus NUACC13. RNAcentral's name for it is "partial contains 16S ribosomal RNA, 16S-23S ribosomal RNA intergenic spacer, and 23S ribosomal RNA; operon 1". The stretch from base 1 to 142 matches the Rfam family "Bacterial small subunit ribosomal RNA", at positions 1395 to 1533 of the family's 1533-position model. RNAcentral also lists the same sequence under 1 other name. The record is from RNAcentral. Lineage: Bacteria; Bacillati; Cyanobacteriota; Cyanophyceae; Oculatellales; Oculatellaceae.